AUAAUGGGUCAGCGACUUAUAUUCUGUAGCAAGGUUAACCGAAUAGGGGAGCCGAAGGGAAACCGAGUCUUAACUGGGCGUUAAGUUGCAGGGUAUAGACCCGAAACCCGGUGAUCUAGCCAUGGGCAGGUUGAAGGUUGGGUAACACUAACUGGAGGACCGAACCGACUAAUGUUGAAAAAUUAGCGGAUGACUUGUGGCUGGGGGUGAAAGGCCAAUCAAACCGGGAGAUAGCUGGUUCUCCCCGAAAGCUAUUUAGGUAGCGCCUCGUGAAUUCAUCUCCGGGGGUAGAGCACUGUUUCGGCAAGGGGGUCAUCCCGACUUACCAACCCGAUGCAAACUGCGAAUACCGGAGAAUGUUAUCACGGGAGACACACGGCGGGUGCUAACGUCCGUCGUGAAGAGGGAAACAACCCAGACCGCCAGCUAAGGUCCCAAAGUCAUGGUUAAGUGGGAAACGAUGUGGGAAGGCCCAGACAGCCAGGAUGUUGGCUUAGAAGCAGCCAUCAUUUAAAGAAAGCGUAAUAGCUCACUGGUCGAGUCGGCCUGCGCGGAAGAUGUAACGGGGCUAAACCAUGCACCGAAGCUGCGGCAGCGACACUAUGUGUUGUUGGGUAGGGGAGCGUUCUGUAAGCCUGUGAAGGUGUACUGUGAGGUAUGCUGGAGGUAUCAGAAGU
RNAcentral lists this ribosomal RNA (677 nucleotides) under Escherichia coli. Its description in RNAcentral is "partial 23S ribosomal RNA". It matches the Rfam family "Bacterial large subunit ribosomal RNA", at positions 612 to 1289 of the family's 2925-position model. Lineage: Bacteria; Pseudomonadati; Pseudomonadota; Gammaproteobacteria; Enterobacterales; Enterobacteriaceae. The record is from RNAcentral.